This 186-nucleotide ribosomal RNA is filed under the name Myotis leibii (eastern small-footed myotis). RNAcentral's name for it is "partial 16S ribosomal RNA". Lineage: Eukaryota; Metazoa; Chordata; Mammalia; Chiroptera; Vespertilionidae. The record is from RNAcentral.
AGAAGCAAUAAUGUUAAUAUGAGUAACAAGAAAACCUUUCUACCCUGCAUGCGUGUAUAUCAGAACGAAUAGCACACUGGUAGUUAACAAAUAUAAAUACAACUAACUAGUUGAAAAUUUAAUGUAAUUGUUAGUCCAACACAGGUAUGCACCCCAGGAAGAUAAAAGAAGUAAAAGGAACUCGGC